Long non-coding RNA from Clarias gariepinus (North African catfish), 336 nucleotides. RefSeq lists it as uncharacterized. The record is from RefSeq and is a predicted model, not a curated record. Lineage: Eukaryota; Metazoa; Chordata; Actinopteri; Siluriformes; Clariidae. The transcript is spliced from 3 exons.
GUUUUUUACAGAAGGUCACGUAUGGAACAAAGAAACAGGACUUCUGUUGAAGACUUUUACAUUGAUGAUUCUGAUGAUGGGGAAGAGUGACAUUAUUGCGGCUCCUUUUCAGAGUGACAGUUUUCCAUUGGAAGAAGAGGAUCUUGCCACCAUUUUGACGAAUUUCCAAGAUUACCUUUCUGAUGACCAGGUGUCCACCAUUUGUGUCAGGAGGAAAAAGCUCCUGGAGAGUGCCAUUAAAGCAAUCUCAAGAGCCAGUUUCUGUUGGACCUAUUCACCACAAAUUGAGUUUGUGGGAGGUGAUGCACAUGAUUUGGGGGGCCCACAGCGAGAGUU